GGGGGCUAAGCUUCGUUGUCGAGAGGGGAACAGCCCAGACCGCCGAUUAAGGUCCCUAAUUUUAUGCUAAGUGAGUAAGGAAGUGAUGAUUCUAAGACAGUUGGAAUGUUGGCUUAGAGGCAGCAAUCAUUUAAAGAGUGCGUAACAGCUCACCAAUCGAGAAUCAUUGCGCCGAUAAUAAACGGGGCUAAGCAUAAAACCGACAUCGCGGGUGUGUCUUUAUGGCACGCGGUAGGAGAGCGUAGUAUUCAACAGUGAAGGUGUACCGGAAGGAGCGCUGGA
RNAcentral lists this ribosomal RNA (282 nucleotides) under Chlamydia muridarum. RNAcentral's name for it is "partial 23S ribosomal RNA". It matches the Rfam family "Bacterial large subunit ribosomal RNA", at positions 993 to 1277 of the family's 2925-position model. The record is from RNAcentral. Lineage: Bacteria; Pseudomonadati; Chlamydiota; Chlamydiia; Chlamydiales; Chlamydiaceae.